Molecule: ribosomal RNA, 192 nt
Filed under: Triticum aestivum (bread wheat)
Lineage: Eukaryota; Viridiplantae; Streptophyta; Magnoliopsida; Poales; Poaceae
Description: partial small subunit ribosomal RNA
Source: RNAcentral
AUGAACGCUUGUACAAGUUUGAUGACCGGAAACAUGUAUUUUAUAACACCUUCAUCAACUAUCACCUUGUUCUGGCACUGGCUGAAGUUGAAUGCCUCUCCAGGUAACCCAAGUUGGACUUCAUCACUGAUGUCAGCGGAUGAUAUGGCGUUCCUUGAUUCCCGGAGCUUGUUUCUACAAAAAAAAAAAUAG